AGAGUUUGAUCAUGGCUCAGGACGAACGCUGGCGGCGUGCUUAACACAUGCAAGUCGAGCGGUAAGGCCUUUCGGGGUACACGAGCGGCGAACGGGUGAGUAACACGUGGGUGAUCUGCCCUGCACUUCGGGAUAAGCCUGGGAAACUGGGUCUAAUACCGGAUAUGACCUCCUAUCGCAUGGUGGGUGGUGGAAAGAUUUAUCGGUGCAGGAUGGGCCCGCGGCCUAUCAGCUUGUUGGUGGGGUAAUGGCCUACCAAGGCGACGACGGGUAGCCGACCUGAGAGGGUGACCGGCCACACUGGGACUGAGACACGGCCCAGACUCCUACGGGAGGCAGCAGUGGGGAAUAUUGCACAAUGGGCGAAAGCCUGAUGCAGCGACGCCGCGUGAGGGAUGACGGCCUUCGGGUUGUAAACCUCUUUCAGCAGGGACGAAGCGCAAGUGACGGUACCUGCAGAAGAAGCACCGGCUAACUACGUGCCAGCAGCCGCGGUAAU
RNAcentral lists this ribosomal RNA (499 nucleotides) under uncultured Rhodococcus sp. RNAcentral describes it as "bacterial SSU rRNA". It matches the Rfam family "Bacterial small subunit ribosomal RNA", at positions 8 to 524 of the family's 1533-position model. The record is from RNAcentral. Lineage: Bacteria; Bacillati; Actinomycetota; Actinomycetes; Mycobacteriales; Nocardiaceae.